Molecule: ribosomal RNA, 465 nt
Filed under: uncultured bacterium
Lineage: Bacteria
Description: bacterial SSU rRNA
Rfam family: Bacterial small subunit ribosomal RNA
Source: RNAcentral
CCUACGGGACGCAGCAGUAGGGAAUCUUCGGCAAUGGACGAAAGUCUGACCGAGCAACGCCGCGUGAGUGAAGAAGGUUUUCGGAUCGUAAAACUCUGUUGGUAGAGAAGAACGCUGGUGAGAGUGGAAAGCUCAUCAAGUGACGGUAACUACCCAGAAAGGGACGGCUAACUACGUGCCAGCAGCCGCGGUAAUACGUAGGUCCCGAGCGUUGUCCGGAUUUAUUGGGCGUAAAGCGAGCGCAGGUGGUUUAUUAAGUCUGGUGUAAAAGGCAGUGGCUCAACCAUUGUAUGCAUUGGAAACUGGUAGACUUGAGUGCAGGAGAGGAGAGUAGAAUUCCCUGUGUAGCGGUGAAAUGCGUAGAUAUAUGGAGGAUCACCGGUGGCGAAAGCGGCUCUCUGACCUGUAACUGACACUGAGGCUCGAAAGCGUGGGGAGCAAACAGGAUUAGAUACCCCAGUAGUC